UAUAUUUGCAACGUAGAUGGUUCAAUUGGGAACUCUCAAUUGAUUAAAAGGGAAUCCGGUGAGAAUCCGGAACAGUACCCGCUGCUGUAAUCUACUUGAUGUUUUAUCUUCGGAUAGCAUCACAGUUUGCAGAGAAACCACUGGUAGAUGCCUGAAACGUAAAGACGUUCGAGACGAGGCUAUCUCUGGGAAGGAUGCAAAUGGAGUGUAGAGAGUCAGAAGACCUGCCUUUUACGACUGAUGGAC
Molecule: non-coding RNA, 246 nt
Filed under: Porphyromonas sp. COT-108 OH1349
Lineage: Bacteria; Pseudomonadati; Bacteroidota; Bacteroidia; Bacteroidales; Porphyromonadaceae
Also listed under: 1 other name
Source: RNAcentral